GCGGGCGUGGCGGAACUGGCAGACGCGCCAGGUUUAGGACCUGGUGUCGAGAGACGUGGGGGUUCGAGUCCCCCCGCCCGCA
Molecule: transfer RNA, 82 nt
Filed under: Acidimicrobiia bacterium
Lineage: Bacteria; Bacillati; Actinomycetota; Acidimicrobiia
Also listed under: 1 other name
Description: tRNA-Leu
Rfam family: tRNA
About the family: Transfer RNA (tRNA) molecules are approximately 80 nucleotides in length.
Source: RNAcentral